Molecule: ribosomal RNA, 490 nt
Filed under: uncultured bacterium
Lineage: Bacteria
Description: partial 16S ribosomal RNA
Rfam family: Bacterial small subunit ribosomal RNA
Source: RNAcentral
AUUGAACGCUGGCGGCAGGCCUAACACAUGCAAGUCGAACGGUAACAGGAAACAGCUUGCUGUUUCGCUGACGAGUGGCGGACGGGUGAGUAAUGUCAAGGAAACUGUCUGAUGGAGGUGGAUAACUACUGGAAACGGUAGCUAAUACCGCAUAACGUCGCAAGACCAAAGAGGUUGACCUUCUGGCCUCUUGCCAUCUGAUGUGCCCAGAUGGGAUUAGCUAGUAGGUGGGGUAACUGCUCACCUAGUCGACGAUCCCUAGCUGGUCUGAGAGGAUGAGCGGCCACACUGGAACUGAGACACGGUCCAGACGCCUACGGGAGGCAGCAGUGGGGAAUAUUGCACAAUGGGCGCAAGCCUGAUGCAGCCAUGCCGCGUGUAUGAAGACGGCCUUCGGGUUGUAAAGUACUUUCAGCGGGGAUGAAGGGAGUAAAGUUAAUACCUUUGCUCAUUGACGUUACCCGCAGAAGAAGCACCGGCUAACUCCGUG